Molecule: ribosomal RNA, 478 nt
Filed under: uncultured Actinomycetales bacterium
Lineage: Bacteria; Bacillati; Actinomycetota; Actinomycetes; Actinomycetales
Description: partial 16S ribosomal RNA
Source: RNAcentral
CACAGAGUUAGCCGAUGCUUAUUCCUCAGAUACCGUCAUUGUUUCUUCUCCGAGAAAAGAAGUUGACGACCCGUAGGCCUUCCACCUCCACGCGGCAUUGCUCCGUCAGGCUUUCGCCCAUUGCGGAAAAUUCCCCACUGCUGCCUCCCGUAGGAGUCUGGGCCGUGUCUCAGUCCCAGUGUGGCCGGUCGCCCUCUCAGGCCGGCUACCCGUCGUCGCCUUGGUAGGCCAUCACCCCACCAACAAGCUGAUAGGCCGCGGGCCCAUCCUCAGCCGAAAAACUUUCCACACCAGGCCAUGCGACCCGAUGUCGUAUCCGGUAUUAGCCCCGGUUUCCCGGAGUUGUCCCAGAGCUGAGGGCAGGUUGCCCACGUGUUACUCACCCGUUCGCCGCUCCGUCACCCCCGAAAGGUGCGUCGCUCGACUUGCAUGUGUUAAGCACGCCGCCAGCGUUCGUCCUGAGCCAGGAUCAAACUCU